UACGUAGGGACCAAGCGUUGUUCGGAUUUACUGGGCGUAAAGGGCGCGUAGGCGGCUUGACAAGUCACUUGUGAAAUCUCCGGGCUUAACUCGGAACGGCCAAGUGAAACUGUCAUGCUAGAGUGCAGAAGGGGCAAUCGGAAUUCUUGGUGUAGCGGUGAAAUGCGCAGAUAUCAGGAGGAACACCAGCGGCGAAGGCGGCGCUCUGGGCCGGUACUGACGCUGAGGAGCGAAAGCGUGGGUAGCAAACAGG
This 253-nucleotide ribosomal RNA is filed under the name uncultured prokaryote. Its description in RNAcentral is "partial 16S ribosomal RNA". It matches the Rfam family "Bacterial small subunit ribosomal RNA", at positions 524 to 776 of the family's 1533-position model. The record is from RNAcentral.